UACGUAGGGCGCAAGCGUUGUCCGGAUUCACUGGGUGUAAAGGGUGCGCAGGCGGGAGUGCAAGUCAGAGGGGAAAUCUCACGGCUCAACCGUGAAACUGCCUUUGAUACUGCAUUUCUUGAGUUAGGGAGAGGUUGAUGGAAUUCCAGGUGUAGCGGUGAAAUGCGUAGAUAUCUGGAAGAACACCGGCGGUGUAGACGGCUUUCUGGACCGUAGCUGACGCUGAGACACGAAAGCGUGGGUAGCAAACAGG
Molecule: ribosomal RNA, 253 nt
Filed under: uncultured bacterium
Lineage: Bacteria
Description: partial 16S ribosomal RNA
Rfam family: Bacterial small subunit ribosomal RNA
Source: RNAcentral